GGCAUUGAAGGUGAAUUGGUUACACCACUGCCGUGCCAAGGCAGAGUCUGCGGGUUCGAAUCCCGUCAAUGCCU
RNAcentral lists this transfer RNA (74 nucleotides) under marine bacterium AO1-C. It matches the Rfam family "tRNA". Rfam says of the family: Transfer RNA (tRNA) molecules are approximately 80 nucleotides in length. Their secondary structure includes four short double-helical elements and three loops (D, anti-codon, and T loops). Further hydrogen bonds mediate the characteristic L-shaped molecular structure. tRNAs have two regions of fundamental functional importance: the anti-codon, which is responsible for specific mRNA codon recognition, and the 3' end, to which the tRNAs corresponding amino acid is attached (by aminoacyl-tRNA synthetases). tRNAs cope with the degeneracy of the genetic code in two manners: having more than one tRNA (with a specific anti-codon) for a particular amino acid; and 'wobble' base-pairing, i.e. permitting non-standard base-pairing at the 3rd anti-codon position. The record is from Rfam by way of RNAcentral. Lineage: Bacteria; Pseudomonadati; Bacteroidota; Cytophagia; Cytophagales; Cytophagaceae.